RNAcentral lists this ribosomal RNA (460 nucleotides) under uncultured bacterium. Its description in RNAcentral is "partial 16S ribosomal RNA". It matches the Rfam family "Bacterial small subunit ribosomal RNA", at positions 338 to 795 of the family's 1533-position model. The record is from RNAcentral.
CCUACGGGAGGCAGCAGUGAGGAAUAGUGGUCAAUGGCCGGAAGGCGGAACCAGCCAAGGCGCGGGAAGGAAGAAGGAUCUAUGGUUUGUAAACUUCGUUUAUAGGGGAAUAAAGGUAUCCACGUGUGGAUAUUUGCAUGUACCCUAUGAAUAAGCAUCGGCUAACGCUGUGCCAGCAGCCGCGGUAAUACGGAGGAUGCGAGCGUUAUCCGGAUUUAUUGGGUUUAAAGGGUGCGUAGGUUGUUUUUUAAGUCAGCGGUGAAAGUUUGUGGCUCAACCAUAAAAUUGCCGUUGAAACUGGAAGACUGGAGUGUAUUUGAGGUAGGCGGAAUGCGUGGUGUAGCGGUGAAAUGCAUAGAUAUCACGCAGAACUCCGAUUGCGAAGGCAGCUUACUAGGCCAUAACUGACACUGAGGCACGAAAGCGUGGGGAUCAAACAGGAUUAGAUACCCUAGUAGUC